UCAGAGCAAUUGGCUUACAGCGAUUGACUCAUAAUCGAUUGGUCACAGGUUCAAGUCCUGUUGG
This 64-nucleotide transfer RNA is filed under the name Gallibacterium genomosp. 3. Its description in RNAcentral is "tRNA-Met". The record is from RNAcentral. Lineage: Bacteria; Pseudomonadati; Pseudomonadota; Gammaproteobacteria; Pasteurellales; Pasteurellaceae.